GCGCCUGUAGCUCAGCUGGAUAGAGCAUCGGACUUCGAAUCCGCAGGUCGGGUGUUCGAAUCACCCCGGGCGCG
This 74-nucleotide transfer RNA is filed under the name Myxococcota bacterium. Its description in RNAcentral is "tRNA-Arg". It matches the Rfam family "tRNA". Rfam says of the family: Transfer RNA (tRNA) molecules are approximately 80 nucleotides in length. Their secondary structure includes four short double-helical elements and three loops (D, anti-codon, and T loops). Further hydrogen bonds mediate the characteristic L-shaped molecular structure. tRNAs have two regions of fundamental functional importance: the anti-codon, which is responsible for specific mRNA codon recognition, and the 3' end, to which the tRNAs corresponding amino acid is attached (by aminoacyl-tRNA synthetases). tRNAs cope with the degeneracy of the genetic code in two manners: having more than one tRNA (with a specific anti-codon) for a particular amino acid; and 'wobble' base-pairing, i.e. permitting non-standard base-pairing at the 3rd anti-codon position. Lineage: Bacteria; Pseudomonadati; Myxococcota. The record is from RNAcentral.